RNAcentral lists this ribosomal RNA (253 nucleotides) under uncultured bacterium. RNAcentral's name for it is "partial 16S ribosomal RNA". It matches the Rfam family "Bacterial small subunit ribosomal RNA", at positions 524 to 776 of the family's 1533-position model. The record is from RNAcentral.
UACAGAGGUCUCAAGCGUUGUUCGGAUUCAUUGGGCGUAAAGGGUGCGUAGGUGGCGGGGUAAGUCAGGUGUGAAAUUUCGGAGCUCAACUCCGAAACUGCAUUCGAUACUGCCGUGCUUGAGGACUGGAGAGGAGACUGGAAUUUACGGUGUAGCGGUGAAAUGCGUAGAUAUCGUAAGGAAGACCAGUGGCGAAGGCGGGUCUCUGGACAGUUCCUGACGCUGAGGCACGAAGGUCAGGGGAGCAAACGGG